GACGAACGCUGGCGGCGUGCUUAACACAUGCAAGUCGAACGGACAGGCCCUGCUUUUGCGGGGUGCUCGAUUGCCGAACGGGUGAGUAACACGUGAGUAACAUGCCCCUGACUUACUGAUAACAUCACGGAACAGGGGCUAAUACCGGAUAGGAGCUCCUGCAGCGUGGUGGGCGCUGGUGAGUUUCGGCGGUUGGGGAUGGACUCGCGGCGUAUCAGCUUGUUGGGGGGGUAGUGGCUUACCAAGGCUUCGAGGGGUAGCAGGCCUGGGAGGGUGACCGGCCACAUUGGGACUGAGAUACGGCCCAGACUAGUACGGGAGGCAGCGGUGGAGAAUAUUACACAGGAGGCGGAAGCCAGAUGUGACAACGCCGCGUGCGGGAUGACGGGCUGGGGGUUGUAAACCAAUGUCGCCUGUGACGAGGAGUGAGUGACGGUAAUGGAUAAAGAAGCACCGGCUAACUACGUG
This 468-nucleotide ribosomal RNA is filed under the name uncultured bacterium. RNAcentral describes it as "partial 16S ribosomal RNA". It matches the Rfam family "Bacterial small subunit ribosomal RNA", at positions 28 to 507 of the family's 1533-position model. The record is from RNAcentral.